UACUGAGGGGGCUAGCGUUGUUCGGAAUUACUGGGCGUAAAGCGCGCGUAGGCGGACCUGCAAGUCGGGGGUGAAAGCCCGAGGCUCAACCUCGGAACUGCCUUCGAUACUGCGGGUCUCGAGUCCGGGAGAGGUGAGUGGAAUUCCUAGUGUAGAGGUGAAAUUCGUAGAUAUUAGGAAGAACACCAGUGGCGAAGGCGGCUCACUGGCCCGGUACUGACGCUGAGGUGCGACAGCGUGGGGAGCAAACAGG
RNAcentral lists this ribosomal RNA (253 nucleotides) under uncultured bacterium. RNAcentral describes it as "partial 16S ribosomal RNA". It matches the Rfam family "Bacterial small subunit ribosomal RNA", at positions 524 to 776 of the family's 1533-position model. The record is from RNAcentral.